Molecule: long non-coding RNA, 268 nt
Filed under: Dermacentor andersoni
Lineage: Eukaryota; Metazoa; Arthropoda; Arachnida; Ixodida; Ixodidae
Description: uncharacterized LOC126530022
Source: RNAcentral
UGCAACAGAGUAAGCAACUAUUCGCCAUCAAUAACCCAUGGAUUUGCCAUGAAGCCCAAGCAGUCACAGAGGAACAUGUUUGUCUACCAACGAUGGCUUUUCAUGACAACAACAACAAUCCUGACUCGUGUUCUGGCAUGGGUCUCUGCCAAGUACCCAUUACGCAACACCGGGCUGUGGUGGAAAGAAACAAGGACGAAGAGACACAGCGGUGACAGUAAAGCAGAGUCAAGAGAAAGGCCAUUUAACGAGUGGUACAUCUUUUUUU